This 497-nucleotide ribosomal RNA is filed under the name uncultured bacterium. RNAcentral describes it as "partial 16S ribosomal RNA". It matches the Rfam family "Bacterial small subunit ribosomal RNA", at positions 28 to 507 of the family's 1533-position model. The record is from RNAcentral.
GAUGAACGCUGGCGGCGUGCCUAGUACAUGCAAGUCGAGCGAAUGGACGAGAAGCUUGCUUCUCUGAUGUUAGCGGCGGACGGGUGAGUAACACGUGGAUAACCUACCUAUAAGACUGGGAUAACUUCGGGAAACCGGAGCUAAUACCGGAUGAUAUUUUGAACCGCAUGGUUCAAAAGUGAAAGACGGUCUUGCUGUCACUUAUAGAUGGAUCCGCGCUGCAUUAGCUAGUUGGUAAGGUAACGGCUUACCAAGGCAACGAUGCAUAGCCGACCUGAGAGGGUGAUCGGCCACACUGGAACUGAGACACGGUCCAGACUCCUACGGGAGGCAGCAGUAGGGAAUCUUCCGCAAUGGGCGAAAGCCUGACGGAGCAACGCCGCGUGAGUGAUGAAGGUCUUCGGAUCGUAAAACUCUGUUAUUAGGGAAGAACAUAUGUGUAAGUAACUGUGCACAUCUUGACGGUACCUAAUCAGAAAGCCACGGCUAACUACGUG